RNAcentral lists this long non-coding RNA (2035 nucleotides) under Olea europaea subsp. europaea. The record is from RNAcentral. Lineage: Eukaryota; Viridiplantae; Streptophyta; Magnoliopsida; Lamiales; Oleaceae.
AUCAAGUUUGAUAUUGUGUGAAAUGACAGUUUUUUUAUACAAUCAUUUUAAUAAAACUUUUUUCAAUGAGUGGGAAGAUUUCAUUCACAUAGGGGCAAUGUUAUCUAUAAUGUAACCCAAGAAUGUACAACUAGAAUUGAAAUUAAAAUCCCUAUAUCACAACUCAACAAAAACCGAACCGUUCAAAAUCCCAUUUAUUUCAUAUAAAUUACGACCGAAAAAACAAGGAAUCACUUAUCUCUGCCAAAAAUCAUAAUAUUUUUCCUGCUGCUCUUGAAAGAAAAAAAAUCUUGAAAAUCUCAAGGUAAUAUUUCAUUAUUUGGGAUUUUGGUUUUCAUUAAUAAAUUUGUUGAUUUGGUUACAUUAUAAUUCCCAAAAAGAAAAAAAAAAAUGCAUUCAAAUUGAAAUAUUGCUCCAGGAACUUAAUGAAACAUCAUCUAUUGAGGAAGUAAAUCACCAGUGUGAAAACAAUCCAAGAACGGCAAGGGCUGAAUCAGGGAUAGAUUCAGAACCGGAUUACAAGCCGGACUAAUAUGUAGGAAAAAAUUAAUUUACACAUAAAUUUUUUUCUACAAAAUGAAAAUUACACUAAAAAAAUAACGAGCUGGGAAUUGGAUCCGUCUUUGGGCUAAAUAAUGAUCCCUAAUCUUGAAGAGAACACGCGAACAAGAUGGAAACAUCUAAACCUUGUUUGAUAGAGAUUUUUUGAGAAUAAAUAUUAUGAAAAGUGUUUUUUCCGAAAAAUGUGUCGCUAAAAAGUCGAGAAAAUUAUGUUUUCACAUAUAAAAUAAUUUUAUUUAAAGAAUUAUACACAAGGUCGAACAUGAGCAAAGUAAAGACAUACAAAUCUGCGACGCCAAGGAUUGAUUUGAAGCAAACAAUUCCACAUAAAUUCGUCAUUAUUUUCUAAAAUUUAUGGGCAUCAGACACAGGACCUAAUCUCUUCAGGCACACAAUUCGGAGUAGAAACAAAGGAAUCUUUUGACGAUAAUAAAUACGGUAAAUAGUACAAAACAUAUAAUGUUCAUACAUUUCAUUUUUUGACAUUUUCAUCCCUAUUUUCACCUUUCAUUGCGCAAAGUCAUUUUUAUCCAUUUUUUUAAUAAAAAAACGAUUUUACCCCCUCGUUCAAAUAAAACAAGAAGAAAAGAAAAAACAAUAAAGAGCUAAUUGCAACUAUAAUCCCAAAUUUUUUAAAAAUUACAAAUCAAUCACAAAUAUAAACUUAAAAAAAAAAAAAAAACAAGGAAAAAAAAACACUAUUUUUAGUUACUAUCUUUACCAUAUAAUUUUUGUCAUUUCUUAUAUAAGAAUACAAAACUAUUUCAUAGAACCCAGUGAUUAGAAAUGGAACAAUUCUUUUUUAAUUAAGAUAUGCUUCAAUAUUAUCCACUUGUGUGAAAAAACUUGGCCAAAUUUUCAGUGCAAUGUAACAUUAAUUUCUGGUUUUCACUUAUUUUCACACGUUUCAAUUAUUUAAUUUGGUAGUAAAUCUUGAAGACAUAAUGUAGAAUAUUAAGUUUAACUUGUGAUUUGUGACAUGCAUUAUGCAAGGGCCGCGUCACAACAUCCUUAGCAAGCCGUGUCUCUAUGGGUUGUUCGUAGGGCCAUGUUCGUUGGCACACCUUAAAUCAAUCGAAGGACUCAUAAUGAUAGUAUAAUGGAAAAAUCCAAACUUCUAAGGUGGGGGACAGGCUCAAAAACAGGACGCCCACGUGAUAGCCCCCUAUUGGAGGGUCGGCUGUUGAAAACAGGGCGCCCACGUGGCAGCCCCCUAUUGGAGGGUCGACUGUCCCCAACAGCCGACCCUCCAAUAAGGGGGCACCACGUGGACGCCCUAUUUUUUGCCCUAUCCCCCACCCUGGACAGGAAGCAAAAUUGUAAUAUAAUUCAAUUCAUGCCACUCAACCUAAGCAAAUUGAAGUUGGGCGAAAUUCAACAAAUUCAUAACUUUACAAAUCAAUGUAGUCCUCUAAAGCUCAAUACGAUUGAAUUCAAGUUGUACACUUGUACUUAAAAAUAAAAGGUUUCAUUA